RNAcentral lists this ribosomal RNA (748 nucleotides) under Pluralibacter gergoviae. Its description in RNAcentral is "bacterial LSU rRNA". It matches the Rfam family "Bacterial large subunit ribosomal RNA", at positions 1 to 783 of the family's 2925-position model. The record is from RNAcentral. Lineage: Bacteria; Pseudomonadati; Pseudomonadota; Gammaproteobacteria; Enterobacterales; Enterobacteriaceae.
GGGUUGUGAGGUUAAGCGACUAAGCGUACACGGUGGAUGCCCUGGCAGUCAGAGGCGAUGAAGGACGUGCUAAUCUGCGAAAAGCGCCGGCGAGGUGAUAUGAACCUUUGACCCGGCGAUGUCCGAAUGGGGAAACCCAGUGUGAUUCGUCACACUAUCGUUAACUGAAUACAUAGGUUAACGAAGCGAACCGGGGGAACUGAAACAUCUAAGUACCCCGAGGAAAAGAAAUCAACCGAGAUUCCCCCAGUAGCGGCGAGCGAACGGGGAGCAGCCCAGAGUCUGAAUCAGCGUGUGUGUUAGUGGAAGCGUCUGGAAAGUCGCACGAUACAGGGUGAAAGUCCCGUACACGAAAGCACACAGGCUGUGAACUCGAAGAGUAGGGCGGGACACGUGGUAUCCUGUCUGAAUAUGGGGGGACCAUCCUCCAAGGCUAAAUACUCCUGACUGACCGAUAGUGAACCAGUACCGUGAGGGAAAGGCGAAAAGAACCCCGGCGAGGGGAGUGAAAAAGAACCUGAAACCGUGUACGUACAAGCAGUGGGAGCAUCCUUCGGGGUGUGACUGCGUACCUUUUGUAUAAUGGGUCAGCGACUUAUAUUCUGUAGCAAGGUUAACCGAAUAGGGGAGCCGAAGGGAAACCGAGUCUUAACUGGGCGUUAAGUUGCAGGGUAUAGACCCGAAACCCGGUGAUCUAGCCAUGGGCAGGUUGAAGGUUGGGUAACACUAACUGGAGGACCGAACCGAC